This 796-nucleotide ribosomal RNA is filed under the name uncultured archaeon. Its description in RNAcentral is "bacterial SSU rRNA". It matches the Rfam family "Archaeal small subunit ribosomal RNA", at positions 85 to 879 of the family's 1478-position model. The record is from RNAcentral.
ACGGCUCAGUAACACGUGGAUAACCUGCCCUUGGGUCCGGCAUAACCCCGGGAAACUGGGGAUAAUUCCGGAUAACGCAUAUAUGCUGGAAUGCUUUAUGCGUCAAAUGGAUUCGUCUGCCCAAGGAUGGGUCUGCGGCCUAUCAGGUAGUAGUGGGUGUAAUGUACCUACUAGCCGACGACGGGUACGGGUUGUGAGAGCAAGAGCCCGGAGAUGGAUUCUGAGACAUGAAUCCAGGCCCUACGGGGCGCAGCAGGCGCGAAAACUUUACAAUGCGGGAAACCGUGAUAAGGGGACACCGAGUGCCAGCAUCAUAUGCUGGCUGUCCGGGUGUGUAAAAUACACCUGUUAGCAAGGGCCGGGCAAGACCGGUGCCAGCCGCCGCGGUAACACCGGCGGCCCGAGUGGUGAUCGUGAUUAUUGGGUCUAAAGGGUCCGUAGCCGGUUUGGUCAGUCCUCCGGGAAAUCUGACGGCUUAACCGUUAGGCUUUCGGAGGAUACUGCCAGGCUUGGAACCGGGAGAGGUAAGAGGUACUACAGGGGUAGGAGUGAAAUCUUGUAAUCCCUGUGGGACCACCUGUGGCGAAGGCGUCUUACCAGAACGGGUUCGACGGUGAGGGACGAAAGCUGGGGGCACGAACCGGAUUAGAUACCCGGGUAGUCCCAGCCGUAAACGAUGCUCGCUAGGUGUCAGGCAUGGCGCGACCGUGUCUGGUGCCGCAGGGAAGCCGUGAAGCGAGCCACUUGGGAAGUACGGCCGCAAGGCUGAAACUUAAAGGAAUUGGCGGGGGAGCAC